This 465-nucleotide ribosomal RNA is filed under the name Vreelandella stevensii. RNAcentral's name for it is "partial 16S ribosomal RNA". It matches the Rfam family "Bacterial small subunit ribosomal RNA", at positions 338 to 795 of the family's 1533-position model. Lineage: Bacteria; Pseudomonadati; Pseudomonadota; Gammaproteobacteria; Oceanospirillales; Halomonadaceae. The record is from RNAcentral.
CCUACGGGGAGCUGCAGUGGGGAAUAUUGGACAAUGGGCGAAAGCCUGAUCCAGCCAUGCCGCGUGUGUGAAGAAGGCCUUCGGGUUGUAAAGCACUUUCAGUGGGGAAGAAAGCCUUGGGGCUAAUACCCUCGAGGAAGGACAUCACCCACAGAAGAAGCACCGGCUAACUCCGUGCCAGCAGCCGCGGUAAUACGGAGGGUGCGAGCGUUAAUCGGAAUUAAUGGGCGUAAAGCGCGCGUAGGCGGUCUGAUAAGCCGGUUGUGAAAGCCCCGGGCUCAACCUGGGAACGGCAUCCGGAACUGUCAGGCUAGAGUGCAGGAGAGGAAGGUAGAAUUCCCGGUGUAGCGGUGAAAUGCGUAGAGAUCGGGAGGAAUACCAGUGGCGAAGGCGGCCUUCUGGACUGACACUGACGCUGAGGUGCGAAAGCGUGGGUAGCAAACAGGAUUAGAUACCCCAGUAGUC